CCUACGGGUGGCAGCAGUGGGGAAUAUUGGACAAUGGGGGCAACCCUGAUCCAGCCAUGCCGCGUGUGUGAAGAAGGCCCUCGGGUUGUAAAGCACUUUCAGUGAGGAAGAACGCCUGGUGGUUAAUACCCAUCAGGAAAGACAUCACUCACAGAAGAAGCACCGGCUAACUCCGUGCCAGCAGCCGCGGUAAUACGGAGGGUGCGAGCGUUAAUCGGAAUUACUGGGCGUAAAGCGCGCGUAGGUGGCUUGAUAAGCCGGUUGUGAAAGCCCCGGGCUCAACCUGGGAACGGCAUCCGGAACUGUCAAGCUAGAGUGCAGGAGAGGAAGGUAGAAUUCCCGGUGUAGCGGUGAAAUGCGUAGAGAUCGGGAGGAAUACCAGUGGCGAAGGCGGCCUUCUGGACUGAAACUGACACUGAGGUGCGAAAGCGUGGGUAGCAAACAGGAUUAGAUACCCUGGUAGUC
Molecule: ribosomal RNA, 465 nt
Filed under: Vreelandella stevensii
Lineage: Bacteria; Pseudomonadati; Pseudomonadota; Gammaproteobacteria; Oceanospirillales; Halomonadaceae
Description: partial 16S ribosomal RNA
Rfam family: Bacterial small subunit ribosomal RNA
Source: RNAcentral